This 186-nucleotide ribosomal RNA is filed under the name uncultured eukaryote. Its description in RNAcentral is "partial 18S ribosomal RNA". It matches the Rfam family "Eukaryotic small subunit ribosomal RNA", at positions 1299 to 1458 of the family's 1831-position model. The record is from RNAcentral.
UGGUGGAGUGAUUUGUCUGGUUAAUUCCGAUAACGAACGAGACUCUGUCCUGCUAACUAGGUUGUGUUUUCUCGGGUUGGUGUUUCUGGUGUUCCUUCUCGGGGCGCCGGCCCAAUCCACUUGUGAACACAACACUCUUCUUAGAGGAACUGGCGGCUGUUAGCCGCACGAGAUAGAGCAAUAACA